UACGUAGGGCGCAAGCGUUGUCCGGAAUUAUUGGGCGUAAAGAGCUCGUAGGCGGUUUGUCGCGUCUGCUGUGAAAGCUCGGGGCUUAACCUCGGGUUUGCAGUGGGUACGGGCAGACUAGAGUGCAGUAGGGGAGACUGGAAUUCCUGGUGUAGCGGUGAAAUGCGCAGAUAUCAGGAGGAACACCGAUGGCGAAGGCAGGUCUCUGGGCUGUUACUGACGCUGAGGAGCGAAAGCAUGGGAGCGAACAGG
RNAcentral lists this ribosomal RNA (252 nucleotides) under uncultured bacterium. RNAcentral's name for it is "partial 16S ribosomal RNA". It matches the Rfam family "Bacterial small subunit ribosomal RNA", at positions 524 to 776 of the family's 1533-position model. The record is from RNAcentral.